UGGGGAAUAUUGCACAAUGGGCGCAAGCCUGAUGCAGCCAUGCCGCGUGUAUGAAGAAGGCCUUCGGGUUUUAAAGUACUUUCAGCGGGGAGGAAGGGAGUAAAGUUAAUACCUUUGCUCAUUGACGUUACCCGCAGAAGAAGCACCGGCUAACUCCGUGCCAGCAGCCGCGGUAAUACGGAGGGUGCAAGCUUUAAUCGGAAUUACUGGGCGUAAAGCGCACGCAGGCGGUUUGUUAAGUCAGAUGUGAAAUCCCCGGGCUCAACCUGGGAACUGCAUCUGAUACUGGCAAGCGUGAGUCUCGUAGAGGGGGGUAGAAAUCCAGGUGUAGCGGUGAAAUGCGUAGAGGUCUGGAGGAAUACCGGUGGCGAAGGCGGCCCCCUGGACGAAGACUGACGCUCAGGUGCGAAAGCGUGGGGAGCAAACAGG
This 429-nucleotide ribosomal RNA is filed under the name Chloroflexota bacterium. Its description in RNAcentral is "Chloroflexi bacterium partial 16S ribosomal RNA". It matches the Rfam family "Bacterial small subunit ribosomal RNA", at positions 355 to 776 of the family's 1533-position model. Lineage: Bacteria; Bacillati; Chloroflexota. The record is from RNAcentral.